UACAGAGGCCUCGAGCGUUAGGCGGAAUCACUGGGCUUAAAGCGUGUGUAGGCGGAUUGGUAGGUACCUUGUGAAAUCCCACAGCUUAACUGUGGAAUUGCUCGGUAUACUGCUGAUCUUGAGCCACUCAGGGGCUACCGGAACAAAUGGUGGAGCGGUGAAAUGCGUAGAUAUCAUUUGGAACGCCAAUGGUGAAAACAGGUAGCUGGGGGUGUGCUGACGCUGAGACACGAAAGCCAGGGGAGCAAACGGG
RNAcentral lists this ribosomal RNA (253 nucleotides) under uncultured bacterium. Its description in RNAcentral is "partial 16S ribosomal RNA". It matches the Rfam family "Bacterial small subunit ribosomal RNA", at positions 524 to 776 of the family's 1533-position model. The record is from RNAcentral.